RNAcentral lists this ribosomal RNA (331 nucleotides) under uncultured bacterium. Its description in RNAcentral is "bacterial SSU rRNA". It matches the Rfam family "Bacterial small subunit ribosomal RNA", at positions 8 to 334 of the family's 1533-position model. The record is from RNAcentral.
AGAGUUUGAUUAUGGCUCAGGACGAACGCUGGCGGCGUGCUUAACACAUGCAAGUCGAACGCUGAUGGCCCAGCUUGCUGGGUUGGAUGAGUGGCGAACGGGUGAGUAACACGUGAGUAACCUGCCCUCUUCUUUGGGAUAACGGUCGGAAACGGCUGCUAAUGCCGGGUAUUCACUGUCCUUCGCAUGGGGGGUGGUGGAAAGGUUUUUUCUGGUGGGGGAUGGGCUCGCGGCCUAUCAGCUUGUUGGUGGGGUGAUGGCUUACCAAGGCUUUGACGGGUAACCGGCCUGAGAGGGUGACCGGUCACAUUGGGACUGAGAUACGGCCCAG